RNAcentral lists this ribosomal RNA (254 nucleotides) under uncultured bacterium. RNAcentral describes it as "partial 16S ribosomal RNA". It matches the Rfam family "Bacterial small subunit ribosomal RNA", at positions 524 to 776 of the family's 1533-position model. The record is from RNAcentral.
UACGUAGGGGGCAAGCGUUGUCCGGAUUUAUUGGGCGUAAAGAGCUCGUAGGUGGUUCGGUAAGUCGGAUAUGAAAUCUCCAGGCUCAACCUGGAGGGGUCAUUCGAUACUGCCGUGACUAGAGGUCGGUAGGGGAGUGUGGAAUUCCUGGUGGAGCGGUGAAAUGCGCAGAUAUCAGGAGGAACACCCGUAGCGAAGGCGGCACUCUGGGCCGAUACUGACACUGAGGAGCGAAAGCGUGGGGAGCGAACAGG